CAAUAGCGUAUAUUCAAGUUGUUGCAGUUAAAAGCUCGUAGUUGAAUUUUGGCGCUGGUUGUGUGGUUUGGACUCACGUUCAACACUGCAGGACUGGGGCUUUCCUUCUAGGGAACUAGUGUGCCAUUUACUUGGUGGGCUAGGGAUCUAGGACUGUUACUUUGAAAAAUUAGAGUGUUUAAAACAGGCUUAUGCUUGAAUACAUUAGCAUGGAAUAACGGAAUAGGACUUUGUCUUAUUUUGUUGGUUUAGGAGACAAAGUAAUGAUUAAUAGGGACGGUUAGGGGCAUUAGUAUUCAACAGUCAGAGGUGAAAUUCUUGGAUUUGUUGAAGACUAACUUCUGCGAAAGCAUUUGCCAGGCACGCUUUCAUUAAUCAGGAACGAAAGUUAGGGGAUCGAAGACGAUUAGAUACCAU
This 417-nucleotide ribosomal RNA is filed under the name uncultured eukaryote. RNAcentral's name for it is "SSU rRNA". It matches the Rfam family "Eukaryotic small subunit ribosomal RNA", at positions 592 to 1018 of the family's 1831-position model. The record is from RNAcentral.